AGUGAACGCUGGCGGUAGGCCUAACACAUGCAAGUCGAACGGCAGCACAGUAAGAGUUUGCUCUUACGGGUGGCGAGUCGCGGACGGGUGAGGAAUAUAACGGGCUCUACUUUUUCGUGGGGGUUAACGUAGGGAAAGUUACGCUAAUACCGCAUCUGCCCUACGGGUGAGAGCAGGGGAUCUUCGGGCCUUGCGGGAUUGAAUGAGCCGAUGGUGGAUUUGCUAGUUGGCGGGGUAAUGGCCCACCCAGGCGACGAUCCGUAGCUGGGCGGGGUGGAUGGUCGGCCGCACUGGAACUUAGACACGGUCCAUGCUCCUACGGGAGGCAGCAGUGGGGAAUAUUAGGCAAUAGGGGCAAGCCUUAUCCAACCAUACCACGUGUGUGAAGAAGGCCUUCGGGUUGUAAAGCCCUUUUGUUGGUAAAGAAAAGCAGCAGGUUAAGACCCCGCUGUUCUGACGGUACCCAAAAAAGAAGCACCGGCUAACUUCGUG
This 492-nucleotide ribosomal RNA is filed under the name uncultured bacterium. Its description in RNAcentral is "partial 16S ribosomal RNA". It matches the Rfam family "Bacterial small subunit ribosomal RNA", at positions 29 to 507 of the family's 1533-position model. The record is from RNAcentral.